Passer montanus (Eurasian tree sparrow) is the source of this 2214-nucleotide long non-coding RNA. RefSeq lists it as uncharacterized. The record is from RefSeq and is a predicted model, not a curated record. The transcript is spliced from 6 exons. NCBI's taxonomy places the organism in Eukaryota, Metazoa, Chordata, Aves, Passeriformes, Passeridae.
UGUUGUUUGAGAACAUGUAAGCAGUGAGUUCUGGACAGAACUGCAAGUGAAGUGGAACAAUAGAAAGAAUUUCUGAAAACUUAAACAACAAGAAUGAGCAUUGAGAAAAAGAAUGGAACUGAAAGGGAAAGGCAGGUGAAAUGGGUCUGAUGGUGAACACCACUUGUAUACUUGGUAAUUUCUGGAACUAUUAUGUCCUUUGGGGACCAAUUCAGGUGGAAAAAGAAGACUGUAGAAAUGGGAGGGUGAAUUUGGGAAGUGAAGUUAACAAGAAGUUGACAGGAAGCUGAUACUGUGUGGAUGAAGGAAAAUAAGGUGUGAAAAUGAACAAGGAUUUGGAGAAGGCCUUGAGGUGUAUCUGUGCUGGAUACAGAACUGAGUUACUUCCAUCAGAUGUAUUCUCCCCAGUAUAUAUUUGCAGCACUCCUGUCUGGAAAUACACACAAAAAGGCACUGUUUUCACUCCAGCUGCUUUUGUUGAACCAAUGUUCAGUUCAACAUAGAAAGGGUUUGAUCAGCACACUUGACAAACAGACGAACAACUGCUGAAGAAACAGGGACUUCCUGCGUUGGCUUUGGUUGGAUUGGAUCUGAGAUCCUUGGUUGGAUCUGAGAUGUUCUAUGAUUGGGGUCAGUGUUGGAGUACCUGUACUUGUGUGGUUAUGUCAGGCUUUCUUAUCCUUGUGGUAUUUCAAGUGUCAUUCUCUGUAUUUCUUGAGUAUCUCUGUAACUUAAUCCAGUGCUCCUGGCUUCCCAUUCAUGUCCAUUCAAGGCUUCUUCCAUUGUGCUGUCAGAUCUGUUCGGGCACUUGCACUCUUAACAAGACUCAGAAUGGAUCCACCUGAAAAUAACCAUUUAUUUUGGUGAGUUGCUUUACAGAGAGAUCAGCUCCCUGAUCAAGUUCAUCGCUUGGUUGCUCAAACAUCCUGGCUGGCAGAGCAGAGAGGGAUCUAAGAUAGAGAAAUAUUCACACCAUGUGCCACCAGUGCUGUUGCCAGACAGGAAACCCAUGGUACUGCUCUGCCCUGAACUGCUUGUUUUAUACACUCUGCAUCUGAUGGACCAAAGACAUAUCUUACUAUCCUUGACUCAGAACAUUCAGCUCAAAGUUGACUAAAGGGAAAAGAAUCCUGUAGGCACACAGUUUGUGUGGAGUGGGGCUGCAGCUGAGCCUCAUCCCCAAUGGGCUGCAGCUGUGAAAAACAGGUGAGCAGCAUUGAAGGUAAUGAGAUUUGGACUGCCCAGGUGUACUGACCAAUCACCAAAGGGAACAGAAGGCACACAGAUGAAAUGCAUGAACAUAAGUGGUAUAAAAUGUUGAGUUGAAGAACAAGAAAGAGCAGAUGCUUUGAAGCCUUCUGGUGUUUUAUGGUGUUACUCUCUAUGGGUUGAACCCUUCUGAAGUUGUAUGAUGAUACUCUGCAUAUCAUGACAGUCUCAACUGUGACAUAUGCUGUAAUGGAAUCCUGGUUUAUAUUUUUAAGAAUUACAUUUCACAUGCUCCUAUUAGGAGCCCUGGAGACUUUUUCACAGUCCCCUUAAAUGAAAGAUGAAGUGAUAUCCAAGAAAUUCAAGCUUCCUGUGUUUGCUUUUAGCAGUAGAAUCCAGCUACAGGUGGUGAAGCUGCAGAGGAGCUGUGGGAUGAUAUUGAUGAAUCUGGUUGGAUGCAGUUUCUGAAUUUUAUGGCAAAUGACAUCAUGCUAAAUGGCCAUGUUCUCCAUUGGUUUCUCUUGUCCUGUUUUUUUUUCUUUUUUUUUUUCUUUUCACAUUAGGCAGAGCUGAAGGCCUAAUAGCCUUUUGACAGUGAAAGAUAUUUAAAUCUGUAGGCUUGCUUUCUCUCAGUUCCAUAAUCAUUAUUAGAACUGAAGAAUGAGGUAGAUAAAGGGAAUCGUCCAACAUCAGAAUUGCAUUUAAUCAUUCUGGUCUGUGAAUAAGAGUUUAAAGAUGUGAUUAUAGUUUGAAAUUACAGAAAGGGAAAAGAACAGAAGAUGCAUUUUUGUUGCUUACAAUAAAUGGAAUAAGAAGAUGGAAGAUUGUCUCAAAUUUUAUUCCAUUCAUUGCUCAUCAGAUAAGGCCAUUUUGAAAUCUGUUUAUUGCCAGCAUGGUGCUUGGAACACUGCUCAGCUUGUUUUCAUUUGAAAGGUGUUUUUGCUACAUUAGCAGCCAAGAGAGAAAUGGAAACAGAAUAAGAUCCAUGCACCUGUCUAACAAGAA